RNAcentral lists this long non-coding RNA (452 nucleotides) under Vulpes vulpes (red fox). RNAcentral describes it as "lncRNA (ENSVVUG00000027340.1)". The record is from RNAcentral. Lineage: Eukaryota; Metazoa; Chordata; Mammalia; Carnivora; Canidae.
AUGUUCUACAAGGACCCAGACCACCAUGCAGUUCUCUGUGCACAGACUAUGGAGGCAGGCUCCAGGGAGGAGGUGAGGGCUCAGCUCCCUGGGGACGGUGACUGGGAAUGGAGUGGCUGUGAUUUAUUUUCCAUCGAGCAAAGUCAAAGCGAGGACUCCAAGUUCCAUACGAUAGCAACCACAACAACAGCUGUCAUUGGUUAUUUAGUGUGUCAGGGUUUGCAAAGCGGUGGCAGAGAGCCUCAGAAAAGCGCUCAAAGGCCUGCGUCUGCUCCAAUCCAGGAUGGGAAACCAUCAUGAAGAUGUUGCCUUUCUUUCUUGCCAUUUAAAAGGCUUUAUCUGGCUUAAAAAAGAUACUAGUCUUCCUGCCUUCCUUCCUCAACUGGGUCUCCUCUCUGCCCACACUCUCUCUCUCUACUCUCUCUCUCUCUCUCUUCUCUCUCUUCUCUCUC